This is a long non-coding RNA of Condylura cristata (star-nosed mole), 211 nucleotides long. RefSeq lists it as uncharacterized. The transcript is spliced from 3 exons. The record is from RefSeq and is a predicted model, not a curated record. Lineage: Eukaryota; Metazoa; Chordata; Mammalia; Eulipotyphla; Talpidae.
CCCCGCCAGGCCCUUCCCACCUCACUCUGAGCCUCGCAGGCAGCAUUCUGAGUCUCUUUCAGAUGACCGGGAACCACCAGACCUCCUCCGAAGACCACAAGGGCUGCAGCAGCUGCCUGCAGCACAGGGCUGUCCUCGGUGUGUGAUACUACAGAAGGAAAUAGACUAUCUCAGAGAGCAACUGGCAGCCAAGCAGUCCCCGGAUGACAAG